Oryzias latipes (Japanese medaka) is the source of this 1574-nucleotide long non-coding RNA. RefSeq lists it as uncharacterized. The record is from RefSeq and is a predicted model, not a curated record. NCBI's taxonomy places the organism in Eukaryota, Metazoa, Chordata, Actinopteri, Beloniformes, Adrianichthyidae.
CAUAUUAACACUUCCUCUCGCUCUCUCCAGUCUUCUUCUUCCCUUCAGCUUUCUGUCCCUCAGGCCCGUAUGGUCACCAUGGGGAACCGUAACUUCAGCCGCUCGGCUCCACAACUCUGGAACUCUCUCCCUCUUGACCUUCGUAUCAUCGUGUCUUUUUCACCUUUUACAUCCAGGCUCAAAACCUGUUCAAAUUUGCUAUUCCAGAACACAAUUUUCCUUCAUCUGUUAUCAGAUUUGAUCAAGAUGUCCAUUUAUUUAUUGUGUUUUUAACAUUUUGUCAAAGUGGUUUCAUUGUGUUUUACUUUUGAAUCUGUAUAGUGUUCUUGAGUGAUUUGAAAUAAAGUGGAUUAUUGUUAUAAAAACUAACUUGCUGAUGGUUCUGUAGGUUCUGCUGCACCAUGACAAAGCAGAAAAAUGUGAACCUCAGGAGUCCCCCAGCCGAGCAUGUGACUGAAAACCCUCUGGAGCAGCAGGUCAAUGAACCCUGCAGGAUCCGAUAAGAUAACCGCUCAAACAGGGACCCCCACUCUGAGCAAACACAGCCCUCCCCGACAGCUUUCUCUUCAUUACUUAUAGGAGGAGGGGGGGGGGGGUCCAAAAAAUAAAUUUGUCUCAACUUUGGCUCCGUCUUGAAUAUACUCAGCUGACAAGAGACUGAAAGAAAAGAUAAACAUACACUGCCUCCCCCAACACACACUCCACCUUUCCAAACAGGUUGGGCCUCUCAACCACCAACCAGGAUAACCAAAGAACGGAGUUACAGGCGCCUCAGGGUCACCACAGUUCAGAUCGGAAACAUGAGCUAAGAGUAGAAUCUUAGAGCUUGGAUCCAGAACCAAUUCUGAUAUCAAACUUCUAAACAGGUCCGGGACUCCUCACUCCUGACACACAGAAACCAGAACCACCAGAGUUCUGGUCAAUUGAACCUGAUCCAACAUGUCAGUGGUUAAAGAAUCCCAUGAUCACUGCACUCCUGGGGGGUGAAGAAGGGGUCUAGGUUCUUCUUUGGAGCAGGAACUCGGGAACACAGCCCUGGGGGAAGAGGAAACAUCCACCUGUCCUCGCGGAGUUUAGUGUAAGGUGAGGACUUAUCUACCAAGAAACAUCACAGAAGACCAGUUCUGUUUGGAGAAACGGGAAAAGUUCUGCAGCUGCUGGAAAUGAAUCCAACAAGCCAAGAUAUAAACGACUGCCAAACAUCAACAAACAUUUAAGGAAAAGCGGCGCAGAAGCAACAAGGAAGACGAAAAUGAAGAGGAGAUGAGGAGCCAAGAAGCAGGUGAUGAUGAUGAGAGAGGUGUUGAACAGACGGAAGACACUGAAACGCAGCAGAGCAGGAAGCAGAGCAGCAAGCUGAACCUCCGGAAAAAGAGCACCACCAAAUGAAGCCCUGAAGCAGAACUGUUAUGCCUAAAACCCAGGUAUCAAUACUCAAGUUGCACACAGUUGAUACCAGCACGUACAUUUUCCUGUCAAUCUUCAGUCACGUUGGGGACAGAUGGAUAAAAACUGAAUGGAUAAUCUCGAACCUAAACCUAACAGUAAAAAAUAAAUAAAUAAAAAAAGCCUGA